Melitaea cinxia (Glanville fritillary) is the source of this 591-nucleotide long non-coding RNA. RefSeq lists it as uncharacterized. The record is from RefSeq and is a predicted model, not a curated record. The transcript is spliced from 3 exons. Lineage: Eukaryota; Metazoa; Arthropoda; Insecta; Lepidoptera; Nymphalidae.
UCAUCAUAAAUCUCAAACAGAAGCUGAAAUGAAUAUAUUAGCAGCUAGAUCAUCAUCAACAAAAAAUACUGUAUCCAGUGAUUCUUUGCUGGAAUGUAUCAAACAUAAUUAUAACAGUCUAUCAAAACAAUUAGCAAAUUUAAAAGGCCAUAUCUGCUGACGUUCCCAAAUCCUAUCUGAAAUAAAAAAAAUAACAGUACUCAGCUGUUAGAUUUCAGUUUAUUAACAGAUCCUGAAGGAAAUCCAGUGGUCCAAAAAUUAGAAUUUCCGCUAUCAACAAUGGAAGAUAUUAUUUUGAUAAAUUCAAUGAAAAAUUAAAAGGCCAAAAAUAUAAAAAUAAAAUGAAUAAACGUAUAUACUUUUCUCUCGAUGGAAAAAAUACUUUUACCCGUAAUAUGGGAAAUAUUACUCGUGUUUAUAUAUCAAGAGAUGUCAUAUGUAGCAGUUAGAGCAACUUCAAAAAAAGUUUUCAAAGAUACGACUUUUUCACUUCUAUAAAAAGUAUGUUAAUCAUUAUAUAGUGCAGGAGGAUUACUAUCAUUGAUACCUAAUUAAUUAUUUCUUAAUUAUAUGUUAUUAUUUUAUACCUAA